GGGAGGUUGGUGGUGGACGCACUGCUCGCCAACCGGGUCAGGUCUGGAAAGAAGCAGCCCCAACGAGUUCUGGUACGGGUCAUCGUUCCAGCCUCCUAUCU
Molecule: signal recognition particle RNA, 101 nt
Filed under: Bartonella quintana str. Toulouse
Lineage: Bacteria; Pseudomonadati; Pseudomonadota; Alphaproteobacteria; Hyphomicrobiales; Bartonellaceae
Rfam family: Bacterial small signal recognition particle RNA
About the family: The signal recognition particle (SRP) is a universally conserved ribonucleoprotein involved in the co-translational targeting of proteins to membranes. Archaeal SRP consists of a 7S RNA and homologues of the eukaryotic SRP19 and SRP54 proteins.
Source: RNAcentral